This 702-nucleotide ribosomal RNA is filed under the name Bacillus sp. (in: firmicutes). Its description in RNAcentral is "bacterial SSU rRNA". It matches the Rfam family "Bacterial small subunit ribosomal RNA", at positions 49 to 733 of the family's 1533-position model. Lineage: Bacteria; Bacillati; Bacillota; Bacilli; Caryophanales; Bacillaceae. The record is from RNAcentral.
CUAUACAUGCAAGUCGAGCGGACAGAUGGGAGCUUGCUCCCUGAUGUUAGCGGCGGACGGGUGAGUAACACGUGGGUAACCUGCCUGUAAGACUGGGAUAACUCCGGGAAACCGGGGCUAAUACCGGAUGGUUGUUUGAACCGCAUGGUUCAGACAUAAAAGGUGGCUUCGGCUACCACUUACAGAUGGACCCGCGGCGCAUUAGCUAGUUGGUGAGGUAACGGCUCACCAAGGCAACGAUGCGUAGCCGACCUGAGAGGGUGAUCGGCCACACUGGGACUGAGACACGGCCCAGACUCCUACGGGAGGCAGCAGUAGGGAAUCUUCCGCAAUGGACGAAAGUCUGACGGAGCAACGCCGCGUGAGUGAUGAAGGUUUUCGGAUCGUAAAGCUCUGUUGUUAGGGAAGAACAAGUGCCGUUCAAAUAGGGCGGCACCUUGACGGUACCUAACCAGAAAGCCACGGCUAACUACGUGCCAGCAGCCGCGGUAAUACGUAGGUGGCAAGCGUUGUCCGGAAUUAUUGGGCGUAAAGGGCUCGCAGGCGGUUUCUUAAGUCUGAUGUGAAAGCCCCCGGCUCAACCGGGGAGGGUCAUUGGAAACUGGGGAACUUGAGUGCAGAAGAGGAGAGUGGAAUUCCACGUGUAGCGGUGAAAUGCGUAGAGAUGUGGAGGAACACCAGUGGCGAAGGCGACUCUCUGGU